RNAcentral lists this ribosomal RNA (468 nucleotides) under uncultured bacterium. RNAcentral's name for it is "partial 16S ribosomal RNA". It matches the Rfam family "Bacterial small subunit ribosomal RNA", at positions 28 to 507 of the family's 1533-position model. The record is from RNAcentral.
GAUGAACGCUGGCGGCGUGCUUAACACAUGCAAGUCGAACGGAAAGGCCCUGCUUUUGUGGGGUGCUCGCGUGGCGAACGGGUGUGAAACACGUGAGUAUCCCGCCCUUGUCUUUGGGAUAACUUCAGGAAACUGCGGAUAAUACAGGAUAGGAGCUCCUGCAGCAUGGUGGGGGUUGGAAAGAUUCGGCGGUUGGGGAUCGACUGGCGGCUUAACAGCUGGUUGGGGGGGUAGUGGCUUACCAAGGCUUUGACGGGUAGCCGGCCUGAGAGGGUGACCGGCCACAUGGGGACUGAGGGACGGCCCAGACUGCUACGGGAGGCAGCAGUGGGAAAUAUUGCACAAGGGGCGGAAGCCUGAUGCAGCAACGCCGCGUGCGGGAUGACGGCCUUCGGGUGGUAAACCGCAUUCGCCUGUGACGAAGCGUGUGUGACGGUAAUGGGUAAAGAAGCACCGGCUAACUACGUG